AAAUCUCACGGCUUAACUGUGAGCGUGCGGGCGAUACGGGCAGACUUGAGUACUGCAGGGGAGACUGGAAUUCCUGGUGUAGCGGUGGAAUGCGCAGAUAUCAGGAGGAACACCGGUGGCGAAGGCGGGUCUCUGGGCAGUAACUGACGCUGAGGAGCGAAAGCGUGGGGAGCGAACAGGAUUAGAUACCCUGGUAGUCCACGCCGUAAACGGUGGGUACUAGGUGUGGGUUUCCUUCCUUGGGAUCCGUGCCGUAGCUAACGCAUUAAGUACCCCGCCUGGGGAGUACGGCCGCAAGGCUAAAACUCAAAGAAAUUGACGGGGGCCCGCACAAGCGGCGGAGCAUGUGGAUUAAUUCGAUGCAACGCGAAGAACCUUACCUGGGUUUGACAUGCACAGGACGCCGGCAGAGAUGUCGGUUCCCUUGUGGCCUGUGUGCAGGUGGUGCAUGGCUGUCGUCAGCUCGUGUCGUGAGAUGUUGGGUUAAGUCCCGCAACGAGCGCAACCCUUGUCUCAUGUUGCCAGCGGGUAAUGCCGGGGACUCGUGAGAGACUGCCGGGGUCAACUCGGAGGAAGGUGGGGAUGACGUCAAGUCAUCAUGCCCCUUAUGUCCAGGGCUUCACACAUGCUACAAUGGCCGGUACAAAGGGCUGCGAUGCCGCGAGGUUAAGCGAAUCCUUUUAAAGCCGGUCUCAGUUCGGAUCG
This 705-nucleotide ribosomal RNA is filed under the name uncultured bacterium. Its description in RNAcentral is "bacterial SSU rRNA". It matches the Rfam family "Bacterial small subunit ribosomal RNA", at positions 597 to 1300 of the family's 1533-position model. The record is from RNAcentral.